Long non-coding RNA from Empidonax traillii (willow flycatcher), 1910 nucleotides. RefSeq lists it as uncharacterized. The transcript is spliced from 3 exons. The record is from RefSeq and is a predicted model, not a curated record. Lineage: Eukaryota; Metazoa; Chordata; Aves; Passeriformes; Tyrannidae.
CACUCACACACUGUCCAUCCCAUCUGGAUCAUUCCUGUGUUUGCUGGUGUGAGAACUGGCCAUUGUCAUCAUGACUCUGCUGCUCACUCUGCCCCAAAUCACUCACGCUAGUUAGUAUCAAACUUCAGUGACAUGGUGAUAAAUCAGCUCAGAUUGAUUUUUUUUUCCCCCCCAAUUACCUGUCAUUUUGUCUAUUGUAGGCUGGAGAGAGAAGCUGCUGUUCCAGGCAGGAAUUCCCACCAUCACCAGCCUUGGCAAGCUGCUUCCUUCCCUGUUUCUCAGUUAAUGAAAUCUGCGCACUUCUGGUACCUUCACCUGAGACAAACUGUAACAGGCAAAAGAAAAGCUACGUGGCAGGAUGACAAACAUGUUCACCUCCUGCUCCUCUGCACUAAAACACUCUCGCUCAGUGACAAGACCACAGCUGUUGCCAUCGUUUCCUUACCUGCAGAGUGCAAUAUUUAGCUGGAGGGACACUGAAGUUUUUCUGUUUGUUAGUUAUCAGGUCAACAACUCUCACCUUAUCACUUCAGUUUUCAUUCUGUUGAUAAAACCUGUCAGCCUUCCUUGAGUGGUUCCAGGCCCUCAGAAGAAAUCACAUUAAAUUGGCACAACCAAGUAAAUCUGGAAGGGAUGUGCUCCUGGCUUACCAAAGGAAAUGGGGGAGGGCUUGAAUUUCUCUCCCUCUUCCUCCCUGCACAGCUCCAAUGUCCAAGUGCUUGGAGCAGUGUUGAAAUCCUCCCUACGGAUUCAGCAGUUCAAGUCAGAUCAGGUCUUUGAAUAUGGCCCAGAGGAGACGUCUGUGGAGCUGAAAUUGAUAUGUUUAAGUGCAAGAGACAAUAAUCAUUUCUUCGAGUAUAAGCUAAAAAUACCCAGAAAAAAGUGGAAUUCAUAAUGGAGAUUUUAAAGAUCUGUGACACACCAGAGCCUGCACAAGGGUUUUAAUGAGAGGGAAGCCAGUUUAAUUGGUCAGUGCGAGCAGAUGCUUUGCUGGGUGAGUGGGCUACGAGGUCUCACGUCCCUGGUUAAUGCCAGGAGCAUCAGCCCUGUCCUCAACAUGGCUGUGACAAGCUCAUGUCACAGCAGUGCAGUGUCAGAGCCAGGGAACCUCGGUAAUCAACGUCUCCACAGUGUCAGAUCACAGAGCCACAGGGAGAGAGCACUAAAAAGAGGAGGUAAAAGCCGAGAAAGGAACGUUCCUAAAGGUAAUUGCAGACUGACCAUCUCCUCUUGUCCUUUGCUUCAUUAUCACUCUGGGCACGAACCUGAACCGGCCCGGUAAGUUUUAACACUGCAUUAACAGGGAGCUGCUGAGCACCAGGGCUCAGGCUCGCAGGCCUCCCCUGUGAAAACUCUUCUGGAGUGUGUCACCAUCCUAGGAAAGCCAGGAAUAACUUCCAUGGCCCGUUCAAUUACAGACACUCACACCCAGCUCCCUCUCCUCGUGGCACGGCUCAUCAAUCAGGGCUUCUGUCACCGUGUCUCUUCUCAUCGCAGUCACCAGAAGGCUCUGAGCUCCCUCCCAAUCCGUGUGACAUUUACUGUCAGGGGCUGUCAACACCACAAGAUUCUCCCAGGGCCUCCGAGUUCAUCACAAAGCAACAAGAUCUAUCCCCCAAACGCACUCCCAGUUCCAGCUCUGGAUUACAGUGACUGACUGAGGGGCUUUGCAGCACGCAGGGAAGAGUGAAACAGCAGCACGAGCUGCAGCUUAUGCCCAAAUACCUUUGUUUUCUUAUUCUCUUGUUCGAAAAAUACAACUGCUUUAAGAGAGGUUUCAGGCUUAUGAUUAAUUAGGCUUCCUCAACACCAUCCCUUAUAAACUUAUUAAGAGAAAGCUGAGAUUGUUUACUUGGAAAUUUAGCCUUCCCAUCUUUAGCAUUGAUCCUGCCUUCACUCUCUGCUUAACA